This 443-nucleotide ribosomal RNA is filed under the name uncultured bacterium. Its description in RNAcentral is "partial 16S ribosomal RNA". It matches the Rfam family "Bacterial small subunit ribosomal RNA", at positions 338 to 795 of the family's 1533-position model. The record is from RNAcentral.
CCUACGGGAGGCUGCAGUGGGGAAUAUUGGGCAAUGGGCGCAAGCCUGACCCAGCAACGCCGCGUGAAGGAAGAAGGUUUCCGGGUUGUAAACUUCUUUUAUUAGGGACGAAGCAAGUGACGGUACCUGAUGAAUAAGCCACGGCUAACUACGUGCCAGUAGCCGCGGUAAUACGUAGGUGGCAAGCGUUAUGCGGAUUUACUGGGUGUAAAGGGCGUGUAGGCGGGAGUGCAAGUCAGGUGUGAAAACUAUGGGCUGAACCCAUAGCCUGCAUUUGAAACUGGCCUUCUUGAGUGCUGGAGAGGCAAUCGGAAUUCCGUGUGUAGCGGUGAAAUGCGUAGAUAUACGGAAGAACACCAGUGGCGAAGGCGGAUUGCUGGACAGUAACUGACGCUGAGGCGCGAAAGCGUGGGGAGCAAACAGGAUUAGAUACCCGGGUAGUC